Molecule: small nuclear RNA, 108 nt
Organism: Phyllostomus discolor (pale spear-nosed bat)
Lineage: Eukaryota; Metazoa; Chordata; Mammalia; Chiroptera; Phyllostomidae
Source: RefSeq, a predicted model, not a curated record
GUACUCACCUCGGCAGCACAUACACUAAAACUGGAAUCUUAUGGAGAAGAUUAGCGUGGCCCCUGGUGCAAGGAUGACAUGCAAAUUUGCGAAGCAUUCCAUAUUUUA